This 450-nucleotide ribosomal RNA is filed under the name uncultured Glomeromycotina. RNAcentral's name for it is "SSU rRNA". It matches the Rfam family "Eukaryotic small subunit ribosomal RNA", at positions 569 to 1023 of the family's 1831-position model. The record is from RNAcentral. Lineage: Eukaryota; Fungi; Glomeromycota.
AGCAGCCGCGGUAAUUCCAGCUCCAAUAGCGUAUAUUAAAGUUGUUGCAGUUAAAAAGCUCGUAGUUGAAUUUCGGGAUCAGUAGGCUGGUCGUGCCACAGGUAUGUACUGGUCUCACUGAUUCCUCCUUCCUGAAGAACCGUAAUGCCAUUAAUUUGGUGUUGCGGGGAAACAGGACUGUUACUUUGAAAAAAUUAGAGUGUUUAAAGCAGGCUAACGCUUGAAUACAUUAGCAUGGAAUAAUGAAAUAGGACGAUCGAUCCUAUUUUGUUGGUUUCUAGGAUUGACGUAAUGAUUAAUAGGGAUAGUUGGGGGCAUUAGUAUUCAAUUGUCAGAGGUGAAAUUCUUGGAUUUAUUGAAGGCUAACUACUGCGAAAGCAUUUGCCAAGGAUGUUUUCAUUAAUCAAGAACGAAAGUUAGGGGAUCGAAGACGAUCAGAUACCGUCGUAG